Molecule: long non-coding RNA, 1495 nt
Organism: Musa acuminata AAA Group (dessert banana)
Lineage: Eukaryota; Viridiplantae; Streptophyta; Magnoliopsida; Zingiberales; Musaceae
Exons: 3
Source: RefSeq, a predicted model, not a curated record
GGUGGAUGAUGCGUGAUCACUCGUUUCCCCCUCUUUAAGGUUAUGGUGUUCUCCGAAGAAAUAAGUCUUUUUCUUGCAUGGUUUUUGGAACCUUGUGAUAUGUACGUACUUUCUGAGAUGAUUAACUUGCUCCCAUAAUGUUGACUUUUGGGGUCUUUGAAGGUUGACCAUCUCCUUGAGUUGGCAUUAGGAACAAAAAUCACAAGACAAUUUUUGUCUUGUGAAAGUUAUGCAAACAGAUUUAUGCUUCAUAAGACUAUUUUGUUUCUCCUAUGAUCUUCCGUGGCAUAUGGCAUGCACAUCAAAGCUACCAAAGAAACGUCAUGGUUGUGAGUUAAUUUGGCUGUUCUUUCUCUCCGGAUUCUUUGAAUACCUCAUGCCACAAGAGAAGAAACAGGUGUUGUGUUCUUCAUGUCCAUCGAGAUCAGGUGGUGCACAGAAAAUGCUUAGAGCAAAAACAAUGAAUAGGAGAGUUUUUGCAGGUCAACUGGAGGAUGAGCCAGGGUCUGGUAUCCCAUACCAGCGUUCGAGCUCGACACCAUCCAAGAGCUCACUCCAAGACCACCCAUCAUGGCCCAUCGGAUCUCCCGGAAGCCUCUCACCCACAGCUGCCGUCGGCGUCGACGCCAGAGAGCCCGAAGGACUUUGGAUUCCGCUACCGCCGCUGCUGUUGGCUUUGCAUCUACCACCACUGCUGCUGCUGCUGCUGUCGAUGACAUCGUCGACUCUCACGCCGGUGAUGAGGAACCGCUGGUGCGAUGACCCACAGGGCUUGGCUGCAUGCAUCGUCGCGUCGCACUGCCGGCACAGCAACGCCCGGUCCUCCAAGCAGAAGAAAAACCCAGCUUUCUCCUGCAGAAGAUCAUUACGGUAUGGCAUGACAUUACAUUUCUUCGGCAAAGCUAAUCGAUGCAAGCAUAUUAUUUUGUUUUCUAACACUCUGUGACAGGAAAUUGCUUUUGGCCUAAACAAAGCGGAGAGCUUUCUCUCAUUCCCCAGUGAAGAAGGUAAGAAGAAUAAAUGCUGCGCACUGCCCUCUGUUCUAUAAUUAUGAGAAAGUGGAGAUCUGAUGGGGAGUGCAAAAAAAAAAAAAAAAAAAAAAUAAAUAAAUAAAUCGAUUGAGACAGCGAGAAUUUAAAUGCCAAUUUUGGUUCAAGAAAGAUGGAUGGCUACCUGCUGCCUAAUCCAAACAAAAUAAAAAAAUAUGAACUCUAUUGAAUUAAAGAGUCUUUUAGGCUUUUUAAAUUUUAAUAAUAAUAUUAUUAUUAUAAUGAUUAUGAUUAAUUAUUAUAAUUAACCAGAGAUUAUUGAUUGGAUGGAUGCUAAAGAGGCAUUUGAACAAUCGAAAGGUUAUAUCCUAAAGGCAUUUGGAAUAUGUUACAAGUCAAAAGGAAACGUCUUAUAUUGGAAAGAAGUAUUAUUACACAUAUGACUGACUACAGCAGAAAUAAAAAUAAAACACAAAAAGAGAAGAGCAGAGCAGAGCAGAAAAAGG